Herpailurus yagouaroundi (jaguarundi) is the source of this 906-nucleotide long non-coding RNA. RefSeq lists it as uncharacterized. NCBI's taxonomy places the organism in Eukaryota, Metazoa, Chordata, Mammalia, Carnivora, Felidae. The record is from RefSeq and is a predicted model, not a curated record. The transcript is spliced from 2 exons.
CUCGGGUUCCCCGGCCGACCCCGCCCUGACCGGCUGCGCGCGCGCCUGCCGCCCGCAGAUUUCUUCGCCAAGCGCAAGAGACCCGCGCCCGAGGCCAAGGCGUCGAACGAGGUCCCCGCGGGAUGCGCCGCCCCUGGCGCCGCUCCGGCCGUGGGCUCGGCGGAGCAGACCCCGCGCAAGCGGCUGCGAUGAGCCUCGCGCCCAAAGAGCCCCGAGGGAGCCCGCUGGGCAGCGGACAGGACAGGAGCGCUGGGCCUCGGCUGGGACCGUCCAUGUAGCAGCAACCGGCCGGCAGCUGCCACCGAGCAGCGUUCGGUUUUAUGUUUAAAAUUUAAAAAAAAAAAAAACAACUGUGCAAUGUAUUAAUAACGUCUUUUAUAUCUAAAUGUAUUCUGCACGAGGAGUACACUGGUCCCAAGGUGUAAAGCUUUAAGAGUCAUUUAUAUAAAGUGUUUAAUCUCUGCUGAAACUCAGUGCAAAAAAAAAAAAAAAAUGAAAAAAGAAAAAAAAAAGGAAAAAAGAAAAAACAUGUAUAUUUGUACAAAAAGUUUUUAAAGUUAUACUAACUUAUAUUUUCUAUUUAUGCCGAGGCGCGGGCCGCUUUGCCGCGCGAUAGCUCGGUUACUGGCUCCGCCAAAGGCACGUCACCCGCAUCUGGUUAUCGACAAAUGUAAAUUUAUUUUUAUAGCGGACUCUGGGGGGGGAGGGGUCGCUCACAAGCUGUAGCUGCCGAACAAGCCCAGCUAGUUAGCAUUUCUCUUCGCGCUUUCUCUGUCUCUUUUAUUAUUAUGGCUAUUUUAAACUGGAAGACAAAUCUGUUAACAUGGUUCCUGAGCCGUCUGCAGCACUGCCCCGGCCCCUCGUCCGCCGGGUUCCAAAUAAAGAGGCCGAAAAACGCGCAGGUCA